Long non-coding RNA from Peromyscus californicus insignis, 1011 nucleotides. RefSeq lists it as uncharacterized. The transcript has 2 exons. The record is from RefSeq and is a predicted model, not a curated record. NCBI's taxonomy places the organism in Eukaryota, Metazoa, Chordata, Mammalia, Rodentia, Cricetidae.
AUGAAGACAAUAAAGAGAAAAUAUGUAUAAGUCUGUGGGAUCCUUAUUGACUCCCUUAGAGUAAGGCUGUUAUUCUUUCACAUGUCUGAAAACAUUUCUAUUCUGCACUCGUAAGAGCAUACUAACAUACUCACUUUUCCUUACAGCUGCCUUUACAAUAUAACAAACCCCUUAGGGACCAGAGCACUCCUCUCCACAACCUAGACUCAGCAUAGUCAUGGCCUCAUACACCUAACUCACACACUAAGAUUCAUGCCUUAUUCUUUUCUCUAUGUGUGGUCUUUCUCCUUUCCUUCCCUCCUCUCCUCUCCUAAAAACUCAUCCUGUUCCCUCCCCUACCUAUGUGUGUAUGUACACAAAGAUUUUUGAGACAUAAUAUCUAUAGCUCAGGCUGGCGUGGAAAUCAUUAUCCUCCUAUCUAAGAACUGAGAUUACAUGCAUAUGCCACCACACCCAGCUGCAUUUAUUCUUUUAUCAACAGGUUUAUAGCAAAAGGAUGCCUACUUCUUUCUGCAGUCAUGUUUGUACACAUGGCUCUGCCUUGUGACAAUAAUUUAUCCAAGUUGGGUUAAGACUAUCAAACUCAACCAAGGCAGGUAUAUAACAUUCUUCUAAUGAUUUCAAGAUCAGCAAACUUAUUCUUAAAGCAGAGCUGCUGUGGCCAAAACAGGGCAUGAGGAAUUCUGCUGCACCCUCUCCCUUUCCUGCCAAGGCUCUCCCACAGAAUCCUCAGGUUUCAACUGAGCACAAUUGGAAAAUGACUGCAUCUUGCCAGGCAGUGGGUGGUGGGUUUUUUGUUGUUUUUGUUUUUCCAAUGACGUAGUUCCUCUAGUUCUUCAUGAAUUAUUUGUACAAUGACUGGAUGGAUAUGAAUGUUCUUGUCCAGUUUCCUGAUGAAUAUGUUAGGAUGCCUGGCACUUGGUCCCUCUGAUUUCUUUAACUUCGGUUAAAAUUUCCUUUAACAUAUCCCCAGUCUUUUAUUUGUAGAGUGGAAUAAAUCUUUGAAGUUGA